AAUAGAUACCCGGGUAGUCCACGCCGUAAACGAUGAGUGCUAAGUGUUAGAGGGUUUCCGCCCUUUAGUGCUGCAGCUAACGCAUUAAGCACUCCGCCUGGGGAGUACGGUCGCAAGACUGAAACUCAAAGGAAUUGACGGGGGCCCGCACAAGCGGUGGAGCAUGUGGUUUAAUUCGAAGCAACGCGAAGAACCUUACCAGGUCUUGACAUCCCACUGACCGGUAUAGAGAUAUACCUUUCCCUUCGGGGACAGUGGUGACAGGUGGUGCAUGGUUGUCGUCAGCUCGUGUCGUGAGAUGCUGGGUUAAGUCCCGCAACGAGCGCAACCCUUGAUCUUAGUUGCCAGCAUUUAGUUGGGCACUCUAAGGUGACUGCCGGUGACAAACCGGAGGAAGGUGGGGAUGACGUCAAAUCAUCAUGCCCCUUAUGACCUGGGCUACACACGUGCUACAAUGGAUGGUACAAAGGGCUGCAAGACUGCGAAGUCAAGCCAAUCCAUAAAACCAUUCUCAGUUCGGAUUGCAGG
RNAcentral lists this ribosomal RNA (528 nucleotides) under uncultured bacterium. Its description in RNAcentral is "bacterial SSU rRNA". It matches the Rfam family "Bacterial small subunit ribosomal RNA", at positions 777 to 1304 of the family's 1533-position model. The record is from RNAcentral.